Molecule: ribosomal RNA, 389 nt
Filed under: Arthrobacter citreus
Lineage: Bacteria; Bacillati; Actinomycetota; Actinomycetes; Micrococcales; Micrococcaceae
Description: bacterial SSU rRNA
Rfam family: Bacterial small subunit ribosomal RNA
Source: RNAcentral
UGAGUAACACGUGAGUAACCUGCCCUUAACUUCGGGAUAAGCCUGGGAAACCGGGUCUAAUACCGGAUACGACGGACCACCGCAUGGCGGUCCGUGGAAAGCUUGAUGCGGUUUUGGAUGGACUCGCGGCCUAUCAGCUAGUUGGUUGGGGUAAUGGCCCACCAAGGCGACGACGGGUAGCCGGCCUGAGAGGGUGACCGGCCACACUGGGACUGAGACACGGCCCAGACUCCUACGGGAGGCAGCAGUGGGGAAUAUUGCACAAUGGGCGAAAGCCUGAUGCAGCGACGCCGCGUGAGGGACGAAGGCCUUCGGGUUGUAAACCUCUUUCAGCAGGGAAGAAGCGAAAGUGACGGUACCUGCAGAAGAAGCGCCGGCUAACUACGUGC